GCAUGAGUGGCUCAGUCGGUUGAGCGUCUGACUUCGGCUCAGGUCAUGAUCUCACGGUUUGUGGGUUCGAGCCCCGCAUCAGGCU
This 85-nucleotide transfer RNA is filed under the name Felis catus (domestic cat). It matches the Rfam family "tRNA". Rfam says of the family: Transfer RNA (tRNA) molecules are approximately 80 nucleotides in length. Their secondary structure includes four short double-helical elements and three loops (D, anti-codon, and T loops). Lineage: Eukaryota; Metazoa; Chordata; Mammalia; Carnivora; Felidae. The record is from Rfam by way of RNAcentral.